RNAcentral lists this ribosomal RNA (336 nucleotides) under uncultured bacterium. RNAcentral's name for it is "bacterial SSU rRNA". It matches the Rfam family "Bacterial small subunit ribosomal RNA", at positions 142 to 507 of the family's 1533-position model. The record is from RNAcentral.
UAAGUAACUACCGGGAAACGUAGGAGGCUAAUACCGGAUGGUUCCUACGGGAUAAAGAUUUAUCGCCAAAAGAUGAGUCCGCGUACGAUUAGCUAGUUGGUGAGGUAAUGGCUCACCAAGGCGACGAUCGUUAGCUGGUCUGAGAGGACGAUCAGCCACACUGGGACUGAGACACGGCCCAGACUCCUACGGGAGGCAGCAGUGGGGAAUAUUGGACAAUGGGGCAACCCUGAUCCAGCCAUGCCGCGUGAGUGAUGAAGGCCUUCGGGUUGUAAAGCUCUUUUGGCGGGGACGAUGAUGACGGUACCCGCAGAAUAAGCCCCGGCUAACUUCGUG